This 234-nucleotide ribosomal RNA is filed under the name uncultured bacterium. RNAcentral describes it as "partial 16S ribosomal RNA". It matches the Rfam family "Bacterial small subunit ribosomal RNA", at positions 118 to 351 of the family's 1533-position model. The record is from RNAcentral.
UGGGUGAUCUGCCCUGCACUUCGGGAUAAGCCUGGGAAACUGGGUCUAAUACCGGAUAUGACCUUGGGGAUGCAUGUCCUUUGGUGGAAAGCUUUUGCGGUGUGGGAUGGGCCCGCGGCCUAUCAGCUUGUUGGUGGGGGUUAAGGCCUACCAAGGCGACGACGGGUAGCCGGCCUGAGAGGGUGAUCGGCCACAUUGGAACUGAGACACGGUCCAGACUCCUACGGGAGGCAG